Molecule: ribosomal RNA, 362 nt
Filed under: uncultured Geobacillus sp.
Lineage: Bacteria; Bacillati; Bacillota; Bacilli; Caryophanales; Anoxybacillaceae
Description: bacterial SSU rRNA
Rfam family: Bacterial small subunit ribosomal RNA
Source: RNAcentral
UUCGGGGGACAGGGUGACAGGUGGUGCAUGGUUGUCGUCAGCUCGUGUCGUGAGAUGUUGGGUUAAGUCCGCAACGAGCGCAACCCUCGCCUCUAGUUGUCCAGCAUUCGGUUGGGCACUCUAGAGGGACUGCCGGCGACAAGUCGGAGGAAGGUGGGAGUGACGUCAAAUCAUCAUGCCCCUUAUGACCUGGACUACACACGUGCUACAAUGGGCGGUACAAAGGGCUGCGAACCCGCGAGGGGGGAGCGAAUCCCAAAAAGCCGCUCUCAGUUCGGAUUGCAGGCUGCAACUCGCCUGCAUGAAGCCGGAAUCGCUAGUAAUCGCGGAUCAGCAUGCCGCGGUCGAAUACGUCCGGCCUU